CCUACGGGAGGCAGCAGUGGGGAAUAUUGGACAAUGGGCGAAAGCCUGAUCCAGCCAUGCCGCGUGUGUGAAGAAGGUCUUCGGAUUGUAAAGCACUUUAAGUUGGGAGGAAGGGCAGUAAAUUAAUACUUUGCUGUUUUGACGUUACCGACAGAAUAAGCACCGGCUAACUCUGUGCCAGCAGCCGCGGUAAUACAGAGGGUGCAAGCGUUAAUCGGAAUUACUGGGCGUAAAGCGCGCGUAGGUGGUUCGUUAAGUUGGAUGUGAAAUCCACGGGAUUAACCUGGGAUCUGCAUUCAAAACUGACGAGCUAGAGUAUGGUAGAGGGUAGUGGAAUUUUCUGUGUAGCGGUGAAAUGCGUAGAUAUAGGAAGGAACAACAGUGGCGAAGGCGACCACAUGGAAUGAUACUGACACUGAGGUGCGAAAGGGUGGAGAGCAAACAGGAUUAGAUACCCUAGUAGUC
RNAcentral lists this ribosomal RNA (465 nucleotides) under uncultured Pseudomonas sp. RNAcentral describes it as "bacterial SSU rRNA". It matches the Rfam family "Bacterial small subunit ribosomal RNA", at positions 338 to 795 of the family's 1533-position model. The record is from RNAcentral. Lineage: Bacteria; Pseudomonadati; Pseudomonadota; Gammaproteobacteria; Pseudomonadales; Pseudomonadaceae.